CGCACGAGAACGUUCACCUUCGGGUGAAUCAGUAAAGUGGCGCACGGGUGAGUAACGCGUGGAUAAUCUGCCUUCAAGACGGGAAUAACAUUGCGAAAGCGAUGCUAAUACCGGAUAAGCUCACGAUUUGAUUGGUUGUGGGAAAAGAUGGCCUAGUCUAUGCUAUCGCUUGAAGAUGAGUCCGCGUACCAUUAGCUUGUUGGUAGGGUAAUGGCCUACCAAGGCUUCGAUGGUUAGCUGGCCUGAGAGGGCGGCCAGCCACACUGGAACUGAGACACGGUCCAGACUCCUACGGGAGGCAGCAGUGGGGAAUAUUGCGCAAUGGGGGAAACCCUGACGCAGCGACGCCGUGUGAGUGAUGAAGGUUUUCGGAUCGUAAAGCUCUGUCAGGUGGGAAGAAUAAGGUCUGUGAAAAUAUUGCAGUCCGAUGACGGUACCACCAGAGGAAGCACCGGCUAACUCCGUG
Molecule: ribosomal RNA, 466 nt
Filed under: uncultured bacterium
Lineage: Bacteria
Description: bacterial SSU rRNA
Rfam family: Bacterial small subunit ribosomal RNA
Source: RNAcentral